AGAGCGAACGCUGGCGGCAGGCCUAACACAUGCAAGUCGAGCGGCCGUAGCAAUACGGCAGCGGCAGACGGGAGAGUAACACGUGGGAACGCGCCCUUCGGUUCGGAAUAACUCAGGGAAACUUGGGCUAAUACCGGAUACGCCCUUACGGGGAAAGAUUUAUUGCCGAAGGAACGGCCCGCGUCCGAUUAGCUUGUUGGUGAGGUAACGGCUCACCAAGGCGACGAUCGGUAGCUGGUCUGAGAGGAUGACCAGCCUCACUGGGACUGAGACACGGCCCAGACUCCUACGGGAGGCAGCAGUGGGGAAUAUUGGACAAUGGGCGCAAGCCUGAUCCAGCCAUGCCGCGUGGGUGAUGAAGGCCCUAGGGUUGUAAAGCCCUUUCGGCGGGAAGAUAAUGACGGUACCCGCGAGAAGAAGCCCCGGCUAACUUCGUGCCAGCAGCCGC
RNAcentral lists this ribosomal RNA (448 nucleotides) under uncultured bacterium. RNAcentral's name for it is "SSU rRNA". It matches the Rfam family "Bacterial small subunit ribosomal RNA", at positions 26 to 518 of the family's 1533-position model. The record is from RNAcentral.